RNAcentral lists this ribosomal RNA (479 nucleotides) under uncultured anaerobic ammonium-oxidizing bacterium. RNAcentral describes it as "bacterial SSU rRNA". It matches the Rfam family "Bacterial small subunit ribosomal RNA", at positions 364 to 833 of the family's 1533-position model. The record is from RNAcentral.
UUUCGCAAUGCCCGAAAGGGUGACGAAGCGACGCCGCGUGCGGGAAGAAGGCCUUCGGGUUGUAAACCGCUGUCGGGAGUUAAGAAAUGUAAGGAUGUUAACAGCAUCUUUGCUUGACUAAGGCUCCGGAGGAAGCCACGGCUAACUCUGUGCCAGCAGCCGCGGUAAUACAGAGGCGGCAAGCGUUGUUCGGUAUUAUUAGGCGUAAAGAGCACGUAGGUGGUUUUGUAAGUCAGAUGUGAAAGCCUUCUGUUCAAAGGAAGAACGGCAUCUGAAACUGCAAAUCUUGAGUGUAGGAGGGGAGAGUGGAACUUCUGGUGGAGCGGUGAAAUGCGUAGAUAUCAGAAGGAACGUCGGCGGCGAAAGCGACUCUCUGGCCUAUUACUGACACUGAGUGUGCGAAAGUUAGGGGAGCAAACGGGAUUAGAUACCCCGGUAGUCCUAACUGUAAACGAUGGGCACUAAGUAGAGGGGUUUUA